Molecule: long non-coding RNA, 1150 nt
Filed under: Zea mays
Lineage: Eukaryota; Viridiplantae; Streptophyta; Magnoliopsida; Poales; Poaceae
Description: long non-coding RNA (ZMAY_LNC004605)
Source: RNAcentral
AAGGAUCCGUCACCGUUACUUGGCGCCGUGACGGUGACUUUUCUUUGCCGAGUGCCAAAUGACACUCAGCAAAGUUUUUGCCGAGUGCCCGACAAAAAGUACUCGGCAAAGAAGCUGUUGCCGAUGUACAGUUCGCCGAGCGUUCUUUGCCGAGUGUUACACUCGGCAAAGCCUUUGCCGAGUGUAAAAUAGCGUUUGCCGUGUGUUUAGAACACACGGCAAAGAAGCUGAUUCCGGUAGUGGCUGGUUUGCGGUUCACGGGACCGGUCUGGUGGUGCACCGGAUCGCCCACUCCUACUAGUCGGUGUCAAUUUGUUGAUGCUAUUCUCCUCUCUCGAAGACCGAUCAGCAUGUCAGGCGGCGUAGAGCGUAGGAUUGUAGCGAGCGCUAGACAAUCAUGGUGGUAGAUGAUCUCCUCGCCUACCUCUGGAUCGACAGUGUUUGACCAGCCUGCCGUCUCCAAGUUCAACCGCAUAAACAUCGCCCACUCCUACUAGUCGGUGCGUGUGUGCAUAGAGAACUGAGUCUCGAUGACGAAAUAUCUCCAUAAUAGCACGGUAUGGAUCAUGACCUUAUGGCACCCUCUAUGUGGUGUUGGCGAGGGCAUGAUGUGGCGACCUUGUCGUCCUCCAUGACUAUCGUCCCGUGGAGCAGAACAAUGCUUUAUCUCCGGCUCAUUUGGCUCCGAUACAAAAUAUAAUGUUAGCUGGAACUCUUAUCCAACGAUGAUUGAAGCUUCGACGAGGAUGAACGGAUCACCAAGAACUCUCACGAACACGAUGAAUACUCUCCAUUUCUUAGUGUUGUACAGCCAGACUUAUUUUCUCCUUAUAUUAGCUAUUUAUUUAUCUGCAUCUUGACCCUAAAAAACAAACAACAAGACGGGUUAAGAUUAACGCGUAUCUCUAUAAGAAAGGAAAAAAGUACCAAAAUUCGGAAUUACAGAUCACGUGGGGCAGGCAGAUGAAUCCAUGGACAUGAUCGAUCACAGGUAGAAGUAGCAGCAGUACGUAGGGUGGCUCGUGAACCUCCCAGCAGGCCACGGGGCCAGCAGCCUGAUGCGGGCGUCGCUCCCUUCCACCCGCAUGUGAGCAGCGGCGGGGCCCGCCGGCGGCCGGCGAUGGAGGAUCGAUGGCCUCCGGUUCGGUCU